GGACGAUUAGCUCAGUUGGCAGAGCGUCUCGUUUACACCGAGAAGGUCGUAGGUUCGAAUCCUACAUCGUCCA
RNAcentral lists this transfer RNA (73 nucleotides) under Candidatus Staskawiczbacteria bacterium. RNAcentral describes it as "tRNA-Val". It matches the Rfam family "tRNA". From Rfam's summary of the family: Transfer RNA (tRNA) molecules are approximately 80 nucleotides in length. Their secondary structure includes four short double-helical elements and three loops (D, anti-codon, and T loops). Further hydrogen bonds mediate the characteristic L-shaped molecular structure. tRNAs have two regions of fundamental functional importance: the anti-codon, which is responsible for specific mRNA codon recognition, and the 3' end, to which the tRNAs corresponding amino acid is attached (by aminoacyl-tRNA synthetases). tRNAs cope with the degeneracy of the genetic code in two manners: having more than one tRNA (with a specific anti-codon) for a particular amino acid; and 'wobble' base-pairing, i.e. permitting non-standard base-pairing at the 3rd anti-codon position. The record is from RNAcentral. Lineage: Bacteria; Candidatus Staskawicziibacteriota.